Molecule: ribosomal RNA, 1451 nt
Filed under: metagenome
Description: bacterial SSU rRNA
Rfam family: Bacterial small subunit ribosomal RNA
Source: RNAcentral
AGAGUUUGAUCCUGGCUCAGGAUGAACGCUGGCGGCGUGUAUAACACAUUCAAGUCGAACGGGGCAGCAAUGCCUAGUGGCGGACGGGUGAGUAACGCGUGAGCAACCUGCCCUUGCGUGGGGGAUACCAUCUGGAAACGGAUGUUAAUACCGCAUAAAGUACAAGCGACCGCAUGGUCGUAGUACCAAAGAUUUAUUGCGCAAGGAUGGGCUCGCGUCCCAUUAGAUAGUUGGUGAGGUAACGGCCCACCAAGUCAGCGAUGGGUAGCCGGACUGAGAGGUUGAACGGCCACAUUGGAACUGAGAUACGGUCCAGACUCCUACGGGAGGCAGCAGUGGGGAAUAUUGGGCAAUGGGCGAAAGCCUGACCCAGCGACGCCGCGUGAAGGAAGAAGGUCUUCGGAUUGUAAACUUCUGUUAUGGGGGACGAACACAUGACGGUACCCCAUGAGAAAGCCACGGCUAACUACGUGCCAGCAGCCGCGGUAAUACGUAGGUGGCGAGCGUUAUCCGGAUUUACUGGGUGUAAAGGGUGUGUAGGCGGGACUGCAAGUCAGAUGUGAAAACUAUGGGCUCAACUCAUAGCUUGCAUUUGAAACUGUGGUUCUUGAGGGUCGGAGAGGUAACUGGAAUUCCCGGUGUAGCGGUGAAAUGCGUAGAUAUCGGGGGGAACACCAGUGGCGAAGGCGAGUUACUGGACGAUACCUGACGCUGAGACACGAAAGUGUGGGGAGCAAACAGGAUUAGAUACCCUGGUAGUCCACACCGUAAACGAUGAAUGCUAGGUGUGGGGGUGCAAACCUCCGUGCCGCAGUUAACACAAUAAGCAUUCCACCUGGGGAGUACGGCCGCAAGGUUGAAACUCAAAGGAAUUGACGGGGGCCCGCACAAGCGGAGGAACAUGUGGUUUAAUUCGAUGAUACGCGAGGAACCUUACCCGGGCUUGAAUUGCAGAGGAAGGAUUUGGAGACAAUGACGCCCUUCGGGGCCUCUGUGAAGGUGCUGCAUGGUUGUCGUCAGCUCGUGCCGUGAGGUGUCGGCUUAAGUGCCAUAACGAGCGCAACCCCUCUCCUUAGUUGCCAUCAGGUUAAGCUGGGCACUCUGGGGACACUGCCACCGUAAGGUGUGAGGAAGGUGGGGAUGACGUCAAAUCAGCACGGCCCUUACGUCCGGGGCUACACACGUGUUACAAUGGCAGGUACAGAGAGACGGUCCCUUGCAAAACGGAUCAAAUCCUUAAAGCCUGUCUCAGUUCGGACUGGGGUCUGCAACCCGACCCCACGAAGCUGGAUUCGCUAGUAAUCGCGCAUCAGCCAUGGCGCGGUGAAUACGUUCCCGGGCCUUGUACACACCGCCCGUCAAGCCAUGAAAGCCGGGGGCGCCUAAAGUCCGUGACCGUAAGGAGCGGCCUAGGGCGAAACUGGUAAUUGGGGCUAAGUCGUAACAAGGUA